UGCCCAGGUGGCGGAAUUGGUAGACGCGUUCGUUUCAGGUGCGAGUGGUUUUGCGAUCGUGCAGGUUCGAGUCCUGUUCUGGGCACCC
This 88-nucleotide transfer RNA is filed under the name Parabacteroides distasonis. RNAcentral describes it as "tRNA-Ser(cag)". It matches the Rfam family "tRNA". Rfam says of the family: Transfer RNA (tRNA) molecules are approximately 80 nucleotides in length. Their secondary structure includes four short double-helical elements and three loops (D, anti-codon, and T loops). Lineage: Bacteria; Pseudomonadati; Bacteroidota; Bacteroidia; Bacteroidales; Tannerellaceae. The record is from RNAcentral.